GACGAACGCUGGCGGCGUGCCUAAUACAUGCAAGUCGAACGCUGAAGGAGGAGCUUGCUUCUCCGGAUGAGUUACGGACGGGUGAGUAACGCGUAGGUAACCUGCCUGGUAGCGGGGGAUAACUAUUGGAAACGAUAGCUAAUACCGCAUAACAGUAGAUAUUGCAUGAUCUCUGCUUGAAAGGUUCACUUGCAUCACUACCAGCUGGCCCUGCCUUGUAUUAGCUAGUUGGUGGGGUAAACGGCCAACAAGGCGACGAUACAUAGCCUACCUGAGAGGGGGAACGGCCACACUUGGACUGAGGACCGGCCCAGACUCCCACGGGAGGCAGCAGUAGGGGAACUUCGGCAAUGGACGGAAGGCUGACCGAGGAACGCCGCGGGAGGGAAGAAGGGUGUCGGAGCGGAAAGCUCGGUUGUAAGAGAAGAAAGAGUGUGAGAGUGGAAAGUUCACACUGUGACGGUACCUUAACAGAAAGGGACGGCUAACUACGUG
Molecule: ribosomal RNA, 495 nt
Filed under: uncultured bacterium
Lineage: Bacteria
Description: partial 16S ribosomal RNA
Rfam family: Bacterial small subunit ribosomal RNA
Source: RNAcentral